This 495-nucleotide ribosomal RNA is filed under the name uncultured bacterium. RNAcentral's name for it is "partial 16S ribosomal RNA". It matches the Rfam family "Bacterial small subunit ribosomal RNA", at positions 28 to 523 of the family's 1533-position model. The record is from RNAcentral.
GAUGAACGCUAGCGGCAGGCCUAAUACAUGCAAGUCGAGGGGCAGCGGGGUAGCAAUACUGCCGGCGACCGGCGAACGGGUGCGUAACACGUAUGCAACCUACCUUAAACUGGGAGAUAGCCCGGGGAAACUCGGAUUAAUACCCCAUAAUAAAUUGGUUCACACGAUUGAAUUGUUAAAGAUUUAUCGGUUUAAGAUGGGUAUGCGUUCGAUUAGCUAGUUGGUAAGGUAACGGCUUACCAAGGCUACGAUCGAUAGGGGGUCUGAGAGGAUGAUCCCCCACACUGGUACUGAGAUAAGGACCAGACUCCUACGGGAGGCAGCAGUAGGGAAUAUUGGUCAAUGGAGGCAACUCUGAACCAGCCAUGCCGCGUGUAGGAAGAAGGCGUUCUGCGUUGUAAACUACUUUUGAUUGGGAACAAUGACUCUUGCGAGAGUAGCUGAGUGUACCAAUAGAAUAAGCCACGGCUAACUACGUGCCAGCCGCCGCGGUAA